CGAACGCUGGCGGCGUGCUUAACACAUGCAAGUCGAGCGAGAAAGGGGGGGCAACCCCCUGAGUAGAGCGGCGCACGGGUGAGUAACGCGUGGGUAACCUACCCCCAGGCGGGGGAUAACCACUCGAAAGGGUGGCUAAUACCGCAUGAGACCACGGGAUCUUCGGAUCCUGAGGCUAAAGAUUGCACCGGCUUGCCGGUGCCGUCACCAGGGGAUGGGCCUGCGUUCCAUUAGCUUGUUGGUAAGGUAACGGCUUACCAAGGCGACGAUGGAUAGCUGAUCUGAGAGGGUGAUCAGCCACACUGGGACUGAGAUACGGCCCAGACUCCUACGGGAGGCAGCAGUAAGGGAUAUUGCACAAUGGGCGCCAGCCUGAUGCAGCAACGCCGCGUGGAGGAUGACGGCCUUCGGGUUGUAAACUCCUUUUCUGGGGGACGAGCAAGGACGGUACCCCAGGAAUAAGUCUCGGCUAACUACGUGCCAGCCGCCGCGGUAAUAC
RNAcentral lists this ribosomal RNA (499 nucleotides) under uncultured bacterium. Its description in RNAcentral is "bacterial SSU rRNA". It matches the Rfam family "Bacterial small subunit ribosomal RNA", at positions 30 to 526 of the family's 1533-position model. The record is from RNAcentral.